This 488-nucleotide ribosomal RNA is filed under the name uncultured soil bacterium. RNAcentral describes it as "bacterial SSU rRNA". It matches the Rfam family "Bacterial small subunit ribosomal RNA", at positions 26 to 515 of the family's 1533-position model. The record is from RNAcentral.
AGAUUGAACGCUGGCGGCAUGCCUUACACAUGCAAGUCGAACGGCAGCACGGGAGCAAUCCUGGUGGCGAGUGGCGAACGGGUGAGUAAUACAUCGGAACGUGCCCAGUUGUGGGGGAUAGCCCGGCGAAAGCCGGAUUAAUACCGCAUACGACCUACGGGUGAAAGCGGGGGAUCGCAAGACCUCGCGCUAUUGGAGCGGCCGAUGUCGGAUUAGCUUGUUGGUGGGGUAAAAGCCUACCAAGGCUACGAUCCGUAGCUGGUCUGAGAGGACGACCAGCCACACUGGGGCUGAGACACGGCCCAGACUCCUACGGGAGGCAGCAGUGGGGAAUUUGGACAAUGGGCGCAAGCCUGAUCCAGCCAUGCCGCGUGCCGGGAAGAAGGCCUUCGGGUUGUAAACCGCGUUUUCGUCUAGGAAGAACGGUACGUGGGACCAAGUAACCCCGGACUAACGUAGAACGGUACCGUGAAGAAUAAGACGACCGG